UACGAAGGGUGCUAGCGUUGUUCGGAAUCACUGGGCGUAAAGCGUGCGUAGGCGGCUUGACAAGCCAGAGGUGAAAGCCUGGAGCUUAACUCCAGAACUGCCUUUGGAACUGUCUGGCUAGAGUGUUGGAGGGGAUAGCGGAAUUUCUAAUGUAGCGGUGAAAUGCGUAGAUAUUAGAAGGAACACCGGCGGCGAAGGCGGCUAUCUGGACAACAACUGACGCUGAGGCACGAAAGCGUGGGGAUCAAACAGG
This 253-nucleotide ribosomal RNA is filed under the name uncultured bacterium. RNAcentral describes it as "partial 16S ribosomal RNA". It matches the Rfam family "Bacterial small subunit ribosomal RNA", at positions 524 to 776 of the family's 1533-position model. The record is from RNAcentral.